UACGGGGGGAGCAAGCGUUGUUCGGAUUUACUGGGCGUAAAGGGCGCGUAGGCGGCACUGCAAGUCAGUUGUGAAAUCUCCGGGCUUAACCCGGAAAGGUCAACUGAUACUGCAGGGCUAGAGUGCAGAAGGGGCAACUGGAAUUCUCGGUGUAGCGGUGAAAUGCGUAGAUAUCGAGAGGAACACCUGCGGCGAAGGCGGGUUGCUGGGCUGACACUGACGCUGAGGCGCAAAAGCCAGGGGAGCGAACGGG
RNAcentral lists this ribosomal RNA (253 nucleotides) under uncultured bacterium. RNAcentral's name for it is "partial 16S ribosomal RNA". It matches the Rfam family "Bacterial small subunit ribosomal RNA", at positions 524 to 776 of the family's 1533-position model. The record is from RNAcentral.